RNAcentral lists this ribosomal RNA (374 nucleotides) under uncultured eukaryote. RNAcentral's name for it is "SSU rRNA". It matches the Rfam family "Eukaryotic small subunit ribosomal RNA", at positions 587 to 972 of the family's 1831-position model. The record is from RNAcentral.
AGCUCCAAUAGCGUAUAUUAAAGUUGUUGCAGUUAAAAAGCUCGUAGUUGAAUUUCUGGCCAGCGCUGUUCUCGGCUCUCUGAGUCGGUUCAGUGUUUGGUCAUCCGUAUGGGAAGCUAGCUCGGCCUUCACUGGUCGGCUAGUGGAUCAUACACUUUACUUUGAAAAAAUUAGAGUGUUUCAGGCAGGCAAUUGCUUGGAUACUUCAGCAUGGAAUAAUGGAAUAGGACUUUGACCUAUUUGUUGGUUUCUUCGAGGUCAAGGUAAUGAUUAAUAGGGACAGUUGGGGGCAUUCAUAUUUAAUUGUCAGAGGUGAAAUUCUUGGAUUUAUUAAAGAUGAACUUAUGCGAAAGCAUUUGCCAAGGAUGUUUUCA